This 253-nucleotide ribosomal RNA is filed under the name uncultured bacterium. Its description in RNAcentral is "partial 16S ribosomal RNA". It matches the Rfam family "Bacterial small subunit ribosomal RNA", at positions 524 to 776 of the family's 1533-position model. The record is from RNAcentral.
UACGGAGGGUGCAAGCGUUAUCCGGAUUCACUGGGUUUAAAGGGUGCGUAGGUGGGCAGGUAAGUCAGUGGUGAAAUCCCGCGGCCCAACCGUGGAACUGCCUUUGAUACUGGCGAACUUGAGUGCGUGAGGGGUAGGGGGAACGAGCAGUGUAGCGGUGAAAUGCGUAGAUAUUGCUCGGAAGGCCAGAGCCGAAGGGGCCCUACUGGUGCGCAACUGACACUGAGGCACGAAAACGUGGGGAGCAAACAGG